Molecule: long non-coding RNA, 378 nt
Organism: Sorex fumeus (smoky shrew)
Lineage: Eukaryota; Metazoa; Chordata; Mammalia; Eulipotyphla; Soricidae
Exons: 2
Source: RefSeq, a predicted model, not a curated record
CACAGGGUGCUCAGACUAUUUUGGUACUCAGAAGUCACAGUAAAUCUGAAUUCCACUUACAACAGUAUGUGAUGCCUCUAGACUUCUUUUUGAAAGAUAGUUCUAUUUCAGAGAUCUGGGAAAACUUUAAUGAGAGGAACAAAAGAAACCGCAAAUGCCAUAACUGGAUUCCCUUUGUGGUGUCGAAUCUUGGGACUCAUAUAAAAAAGAAUGAGUUCUACCAUUGAGCUACAUCCCUGUGAAGAACCCUAUGUGAUAUAAAAGUGUUCUUGAAAUAAAUGUUUCAAAAAACUCCAGAUUAUAACAGUUUACAGCUUUUCAAAGAUAGUAUACUUUCUUUGUAAGAUUAUUUUCUCAUUAAUAAAAUAUAAUUCUUCA